This is a long non-coding RNA of Brassica oleracea var. oleracea, 425 nucleotides long. RefSeq lists it as uncharacterized. The record is from RefSeq and is a predicted model, not a curated record. The transcript has 3 exons. Lineage: Eukaryota; Viridiplantae; Streptophyta; Magnoliopsida; Brassicales; Brassicaceae.
GAAAAGCCCUACAGUUUUAUUUAUCAUAAGCCGGGAAACUAGUUUCCUCCAAAACCCUAAUCUUCUUCUGAGAGACUCUUAAUAUUGUGGGAUUUCUGAGAGACUUUGAGGUUAAUUAUGGAGAGGGGGCAUGUUUUUUCCGACUACGACAUGGAAUACUACGUGAACCGACUCAAGCAACUAAAAAAGCUGAAGCAAAUGCUGGUCAUAGGUAUCCUUGUUAAUGUUGCAGUGAUAUUGUUCGCCGGCUGGUACGGAGGUAUCAUAACAUUUCCAUUGUUUCCAAACUUAGCGUGGAGUAUGCCGCUUGUGCUUUUCAUGGCCAUGGAAGAAUAAAACUCGUGGAAGUCUAAUGACACUAUUUAGACGUAAGGAUGAUUAUAGCGUUUUCUUUUCUUUUUGGUUUUUGUUUAAAAUUUAUUUUU